CCUACGGGCGGCAGCAGUGGGGAAUAUUGGACAAUGGGGGCAACCCUGAUCCAGCCAUGCCGCGUGUGUGAAGAAGGCCCUCGGUUUGUAAAGCACUUUCAGUGAGGAAGAACGCCUGGUGGUUAAUACCCAUCAGGAAAGACAUCACUCACAGAAGAAGCACCGGCUAACUCCGUGCCAGCAGCCGCGGUAAUACGGAGGGUGCGAGCGUUAAUCGGAAUUACUGGGCGUAAAGCGCGCGUAGGUGGCUUGAUAAGCCGGUUGUGAAAGCCCCGGGCUCAACCUGGGAACGGCAUCCGGAACUGUCAAGCUAGAGUGCAGGAGAGGAAGGUAGAAUUCCCGGUGUAGCGGUGAAAUGCGUAGAGAUCGGGAGGAAUACCAGUGGCGAAGGCGGCCUUCUGGACUGACACUGACACUGAGGUGCGAAAGCGUGGGUAGCAAACAGGAUUAGAUACCCGAGUAGUC
Molecule: ribosomal RNA, 465 nt
Filed under: Vreelandella stevensii
Lineage: Bacteria; Pseudomonadati; Pseudomonadota; Gammaproteobacteria; Oceanospirillales; Halomonadaceae
Description: partial 16S ribosomal RNA
Rfam family: Bacterial small subunit ribosomal RNA
Source: RNAcentral